RNAcentral lists this transfer RNA (76 nucleotides) under Methanothrix sp. Its description in RNAcentral is "tRNA-Asx". It matches the Rfam family "tRNA". From Rfam's summary of the family: Transfer RNA (tRNA) molecules are approximately 80 nucleotides in length. Their secondary structure includes four short double-helical elements and three loops (D, anti-codon, and T loops). Lineage: Archaea; Methanobacteriati; Methanobacteriota; Methanomicrobia; Methanotrichales; Methanotrichaceae. The record is from RNAcentral.
GUCCGGAUAGUGUAGAGGCCUAUCAUGAAGCCCUGUCGAGGCUUCGACCCGGGUUCGACUCCCGGUCCGGGCGCUA